This 1933-nucleotide long non-coding RNA is filed under the name Marmota monax (woodchuck). The record is from RNAcentral. Lineage: Eukaryota; Metazoa; Chordata; Mammalia; Rodentia; Sciuridae.
CUUGUUGUGAAUAGGAAGGUUACUGGAGACAGGAGACAUUCCUGAUGCUUCCAAGGGAAGCCAAAUGGUCAAGAAACACCUGGACACAUCCUAGCGCAAUGGCAUUAGCAGAAUUAUGAAUCUGCUCUCAAGUUCUUCCACAAGUGACCCCUAUGGGAACUCGGCUGACUCUUAACAUUAGAUAGAUAAAAAGUCAAUUUUGACCAGCUUGGUCUUAAACAUCUAUGAAAAAAGAGUUAAGCCAGAACACAGUCAUUCCUGGGAGUAAUGAAGGACAAGAACAGCUAGAAAAAAGGAGAUAAUAACUAGGCCAAUAGGCUCUAUGGGGAAUGUUCAGUCAAGUGUGGCCUUGGUUCCAGUCCCUCACAGGACUCUAUUAGUCAAAUUUAUAUUUCUCCUAAUAAACAUGACCUUUAAAUUACCUACAGAAGUUCCUGCAAGAUCAGACAUAAAUUCACCAACCUCCCGGUAAUCAACUACUUCUUUAAGAAUACCAGCCCAGAUGCCCAAGACAGAGACCUAUGACUCAUGACCAACUCCUCUGGAUCCAGACACUCUGUGCCCAUCUAAAACCCUCUAUAUUGCCUUUUCAAGUUUUUACCACCUCUUUCACUUCCUAGGAAUGAGAACUACUCUCCAGCAUGUUCACUCUGCUUGUUCUGUCUGUUCUACAGUAUCCCUCAAGGAAGUAUCAAACCUAAACUCCCCACACAUCAGAUGAGGAGCUACCAGCCAGACAGACUGGUAGAUCAACUUCACUCACAUGCCUAGGUACAAAAAGCUUUACUACCUACUUACUUUGGUUGAUAAUUUUACAGGUUGGGUACAAUCCUUCCCUACAUCUAGGGAAAUUGCUGACACCAUUGUCUCCAUCCUCAUUGAGGAGAUCAUUCCCAGGUUUGGACUUCCCAACACCAUCCAGUCAGACAAUGGUCCAGCCUUCACUUCUCAGAUUUUUCAACCAGUCUCCAAAGGCCUCAACAUCACUUGGAGGCUCCACAUCCCCCACCAACCCCUAUUCUCAUUUUCUAUUCCAACCACAGAUGGCAUUUUAACUUCCAAGAAACUUGGCACCAGAUAACAUCACCCACUCUCAAUUUAUGGGUCAAGGCGAUUGCUUUUCACUGGCUAAAAUUGGGCAAACACCCUUAACAUUACUAAAUUCAACCAAGCCACCUCAGAUAAUUCCUAGAGUCCCUACGACAGGACUAAUGGCUGAUACCAAGGAUCUCCUCCACUCAGAAAUGAUUCGAUGCCAUUGACAACCUAUGGCUUCAAGGAAACUUUAUGGACUUUGCCCUUCUGAGAUAACUGUCUAUAGCCACUGGAUGUUAUCUCUAGCUGCCCUGAUAUACCCAAACCUGUUCAUGAACAUUCCACAGCUCUCCCAAGUAGGCCCCAUUUCAGACCCUCUUAGCAGAAAGUAGCCAAACAAUUUUGUGCCAGCCCCCACCCCAUAAUUUAGAAAAACAAAAUGGGAGAAAUUUUAGGUGCAGAACAGCCUGAACUAUGUUCUGCAGGAUAACCCAUGCACUCAAAUACCUUUCUGUCUGGUCUUUUAUCGCCUAUUUGCAUCAAGACUGAAUACUCAACCGCACUCAAGGCUGAACACUUGACCCCCACCUGUCUGGUGCAACAGAAACCCACAUCUUACCCCUGCCCCAUCUUCCUGAAGGCAGAAGAUGACACCCUUAGCAACUAUUGUGCGGUCCAAUCAUUUUCUACCUACAAGGCAGUUUACAGACUCAGAGACCCCAUUAGAAUUUGGCUAUAAAAACUCCCUUGUGCCGGGUCCCCCUAUCUUGCUCUCUCUGUCUCCCUCUCUUGCUUUCACUCUACCUUGCUCUCUCUUUCUUCUCUCUCUCUCUCUCUCUCUCUCUCUCUCUCUCUCUUUCUCUUCUUUGUCAUGGCUGCAAUAAAGCAGUGGUCACUG